RNAcentral lists this ribosomal RNA (203 nucleotides) under uncultured bacterium. RNAcentral's name for it is "partial 16S ribosomal RNA". It matches the Rfam family "Bacterial small subunit ribosomal RNA", at positions 524 to 722 of the family's 1533-position model. The record is from RNAcentral.
UACGUAGGGGUGCAAGCGUUGUCCGGAAUUAUUGGGCGUAAAGAGCUCGUAGGCGGCUCUGUCCGCGUCUGCUGUGAAAACUCAGGGCUUAACCCUGAGCUUGCAGUGGGUACGGGCAGACUAGAGUGCGGUAGGGGAGACUGGAAUUCCUGGUGUAGCGGUGAAAUGCGCAGAUAGUCAGGAGGAACACCGGUGGCGAAGGC